Elgaria multicarinata webbii is the source of this 1129-nucleotide long non-coding RNA. RefSeq lists it as uncharacterized. NCBI's taxonomy places the organism in Eukaryota, Metazoa, Chordata, Lepidosauria, Squamata, Anguidae. The transcript is spliced from 3 exons. The record is from RefSeq and is a predicted model, not a curated record.
AGGAUUAAAACAGAGAAAGGAGGCAAAGGGGGUGCAAGGAAUCUUGGACUGCCUUGAAUCCUGAGUUGUGUCCAAUCCUUCCUUGAAGGACAACAUGGCCGAAGCCGAAAAGGAACAAGAGCUGAGAAUUCUUCUCAUCGGCAAAACCGGAACCGGGAAGAGCUCCACAGGAAACACCAUCUUGGGAGAUAAAGUGUUCGAUAGCGCUGCUGCACCUGGAUCAGUCACCAAGCUUUGUGAAAAACGAAAAGCCGUCUUCGAAGGGAGGAAGAUGGUUGUUGUUGAUACGCCUUGGUUUUUUGACACUAAAAGAAAGAAAGUUUAUAGCUGGAAAGAUAUUGAGACGUGUGUUGGUCUUCUGCACCCUGGGCCCCAUGCGAUUCUAGUGGUUAUCAGAAUCAGCAAGAUGACAGGAGAGGAGCAAGAUGCUAUUCGGGAGGUUAAGAAGUUUUUUAGCAUUGAAGGUAAACAUUUUCUGAUCCUUUUAUUCACCCAUAAAGAUGCUUUAGAUCUUGAUGGUAUAACUCUAAAAGGUUUCUUAGCAAAUGCAGAGGGUCACCUGAAGGAUCUAAUGGGCAUGGCUGCAAACCGAUUCAUUGCUUUCAACAAUAAUGCUGAAGAAGCAGAAAGGAUAUGUCAGGUUCAGGAACUGAUUAAAAAAAUAGAUGACAUGGUGGUACUGAAUGGUACAAAGCCAUAUUACAGGAUGGAACUGUUCAAGAAGGACAGCUCAUGGUGUAGUAUAAUAUAAUAUAAGCAAGGAUGCAAAUAUGUUUUCCAAUGAACCCUAAUUUCUAUUCUGAUUUGAGGGACAAAAUGUGACUCCCAUAAGAAAUGAAAUCCUGCAUCUUUUCUCCUCCUCCCACAGUUCUUUUCACCCCACGCAAGGACCAUAUUCCUGACCAUGUCAACUGUAGCCUGUUUUUCUCCUGUGUAUAAUUGCUCCUUUGGCCUAUUAAGUAGGGCUGUGCUCUGCUUCUCUUCGGAUCGGAGAAGCAGAAGCGGAUCAGGGUGCUUUGCCUCCCCUUAAAGCGAAGGUGAAGAGGAUCGGGGGGCAGCGGAGCGUCGCAGAGCGGAUCGAGAUGAAGGCGGAUCCUUCACCUCGAUCCGGAGCUCCGAAAAAAGGUAA